This 417-nucleotide long non-coding RNA is filed under the name Medicago truncatula (barrel medic). RNAcentral describes it as "long non-coding RNA (MTRU_LNC001437)". Lineage: Eukaryota; Viridiplantae; Streptophyta; Magnoliopsida; Fabales; Fabaceae. The record is from RNAcentral.
AACUCUUGAUGAAAUUUUUGUAGGCUUGUGGUUUGUCGAAGCGGCGAACCACUGACCAAACGGCUGUGAUGGAGGCGGUUGUCUCUUGGACGACCGCCGAGCAUAAUUGGUCGGAUGAUAUGGAGUGUGUGUGAUAGUGGGCUAUAGUGUUAGGAAUGGUGCUGGUCACAGGGUUGAUGAAGAGGGUGUUGUUUUCGCAGUGGAGGUCGUGGUGGUUGGUGAUGGUCGUAGUGGUGGUGUGGUUGAUCCUGUGGAGGAGAAGAGAAGACUUUGGUGGAUUUGGAGGCAUUUUUUUUUUUUAUACUAAUUGUAUAAUACAGAAAAAUAAUUAAAAGAAAAGAAGUAAUGAUAAGAUUUGAUGGAUCUUGUCUUGUUAUAGUUUGAGUGGUGUUAUUAGAAAGGGUUUUGAAGAUGAAG